This is an RNA transcript of Mangifera indica (mango), 1408 nucleotides long. It is a transcript of the gene named mitochondrial import inner membrane translocase subunit TIM17-2-like, with no coding region annotated. The transcript is spliced from 3 exons. NCBI's taxonomy places the organism in Eukaryota, Viridiplantae, Streptophyta, Magnoliopsida, Sapindales, Anacardiaceae. The record is from RefSeq and is a predicted model, not a curated record.
AACUUAAAACCUCUGUAAAAUCUUGACCCUUCUCCGAAAUUUUGAAACAGAGAGCUGAGAUGGGAACCCCAGAGACUUCCAGAGAACCGUGUCCAGAUCGAAUCUUAGACGACAUCGGUGGAGCCUUCGGGAUGGGUGCUGUUGGCGGCUCUGCCUUCCACUUCCUCAAAGGCGUGUAUAACUCCCCAAGCGGCUCCCGUCUCAUCGGCGGUACUCAAGCUGUUCGAAUGAACGCGCCCCGUGUAGGCGGCAGCUUCGCUGUCUGGGGCGGGCUUUUCUCCACCUUCGAUUGCUCCAUGGUCUACCUCCGUCAGAAAGAGGACCCCUGGAACUCCAUCUUUGCUGGCGCCGCCACUGGCGGUUUCCUCUCCAUGCGCCAGGGGCUUGGCUCGUCGGCUCGCUCCGCUGUUUUCGGUGGCGUUCUCUUGGCGCUAAUCGAAGGAGCUGGAAUCAUGCUUAAUAAAGUUCUUAGUGGCCCGCAAAACAUGCCGAUUAUUAUGGAGGAGCCGACCCCUGGUAUGGUUGGUGGGCCAGGGUUUCCUGGCGGCUUACCGGGUCCGACCGGUCAAAGAGUGGAAUCUAAUUCUUCUGAGUCGGAUUCAGGUUGGUUUGGAGGGUUCUUUGGUGGAAGCAAGAAGAAAGAAAGCCCGGCGGGCAGUGGAAGUAAGACCGAGAUUUUGGAGAGUUUCGAUGCCCCUCCGGUGCCCAAUUUUGAGUACAAGUGAAAAAUCAGGCAAUGGCAGAAUGAAGAGCUUUUAAAAUUGAUCGUGUUCAUAGCAGAUAUGAAUAAUUUUCAUUCAUUUUGCUUGUUCUACCAUUCAAAGCUGAGGAGAAGGAAACCCAAAAAGAGAAGUAAUUUGAUGUUCAAACAUCAUUCAAUAAGUAUACAAAGCAUCUUUUAAACUUAUACAUACACACUCCCUCUAAACGAAAUUGAAAAUUCAAUCAGAUUUAUAGAUGGAAACACCAGAUUUGGUGUGAGAAGUAUCCGCUUUUAAGAUUGGUGAAACCCUGCUAGUGGUGGAAGGUUGCACAGUCUGAGAAGGAGGAUAAAAGUAAUCAGUUGGAAAGAAGUAAUAUUGUUGUGAAGGAACAACUGCUUUCUCAGCAGUAGACUCUAAUGGAGGUGAUGUACGAGGGUGGAAGAAAUCAGUGGGAAAGAAUUUGAAUUGAAGGCCGGCCAUGAAAGAAGGGGUUUGGUUUAGAUUGAUUCUGUUUUCUACCUUGUUAUAGCCGGGGAGGGAAAAGCAUAUAUAUAUAUGCUUUGUCGUUUUAGGGGUAAUUUCCUAGUUAUCUCUGCGGAAUACAAAUUGCUAUCAAAUGACUUUGUCGUUUUAAUGGUUUUGAUCAUAAUUUACCUUUUUACAAAGUUGUAAAUUGGGAUUACACCAAAUUGACUAUUUUUAAA